RNAcentral lists this ribosomal RNA (332 nucleotides) under uncultured bacterium. Its description in RNAcentral is "bacterial SSU rRNA". It matches the Rfam family "Bacterial small subunit ribosomal RNA", at positions 568 to 898 of the family's 1533-position model. The record is from RNAcentral.
UGCGCAGGCGGUUUGGUAAGACAGGCGUGAAAUCCCCGGGCUUAACCUGGGAACUGCGUUUGUGACUGCCAGGCUAGAGUACGGCAGAGGGGGGUGGAAUUCCACGUGUAGCAGUGAAAUGCGUAGAGAUGUGGAGGAACACCAAUGGCGAAGGCAGCCCCCUGGGUCGAUACUGACGCUCAUGCACGAAAGCGUGGGUAGCAAACAGGAUUAGAUACCCUGGUAGUCCACGCCCUAAACGAUGUCAACUAGGUGUUGGGAGGGUAAAACCUUUUAGUACCGUAGCUAACGCGAGAAGUUGACCGCCUGGGGAGUACGGCCGCAAGGUUAAA